Molecule: ribosomal RNA, 906 nt
Filed under: Staphylococcus aureus M0318
Lineage: Bacteria; Bacillati; Bacillota; Bacilli; Caryophanales; Staphylococcaceae
Also listed under: 1 other name
Description: bacterial SSU rRNA
Rfam family: Bacterial small subunit ribosomal RNA
Source: RNAcentral
AGAGUUUGAUCCUGGCUCAGGAUGAACGCUGGCGGCGUGCCUAAUACAUGCAAGUCGAGCGAACGGACGAGAAGCUUGCUUCUCUGAUGUUAGCGGCGGACGGGUGAGUAACACGUGGAUAACCUACCUAUAAGACUGGGAUAACUUCGGGAAACCGGAGCUAAUACCGGAUAAUAUUUUGAACCGCAUGGUUCAAAAGUGAAAGACGGUCUUGCUGUCACUUAUAGAUGGAUCCGCGCUGCAUUAGCUAGUUGGUAAGGUAACGGCUUACCAAGGCAACGAUGCAUAGCCGACCUGAGAGGGUGAUCGGCCACACUGGAACUGAGACACGGUCCAGACUCCUACGGGAGGCAGCAGUAGGGAAUCUUCCGCAAUGGGCGAAAGCCUGACGGAGCAACGCCGCGUGAGUGAUGAAGGUCUUCGGAUCGUAAAACUCUGUUAUUAGGGAAGAACAUAUGUGUAAGUAACUGUGCACAUCUUGACGGUACCUAAUCAGAAAGCCACGGCUAACUACGUGCCAGCAGCCGCGGUAAUACGUAGGUGGCAAGCGUUAUCCGGAAUUAUUGGGCGUAAAGCGCGCGUAGGCGGUUUUUUAAGUCUGAUGUGAAAGCCCACGGCUCAACCGUGGAGGGUCAUUGGAAACUGGAAAACUUGAGUGCAGAAGAGGAAAGUGGAAUUCCAUGUGUAGCGGUGAAAUGCGCAGAGAUAUGGAGGAACACCAGUGGCGAAGGCGACUUUCUGGUCUGUAACUGACGCUGAUGUGCGAAAGCGUGGGGAUCAAACAGGAUUAGAUACCCUGGUAGUCCACGCCGUAAACGAUGAGUGCUAAGUGUUAGGGGGUUUCCGCCCCUUAGUGCUGCAGCUAACGCAUUAAGCACUCCGCCUGGGGAGUACGACCGCAAGGUU